This 164-nucleotide ribosomal RNA is filed under the name Quercus petraea subsp. petraea. RNAcentral's name for it is "5.8S ribosomal RNA". It matches the Rfam family "5.8S ribosomal RNA". Rfam says of the family: 5.8S ribosomal RNA (5.8S rRNA) is a component of the large subunit of the eukaryotic ribosome. It is transcribed by RNA polymerase I as part of the 45S precursor that also contains 18S and 28S rRNA. The record is from RNAcentral. Lineage: Eukaryota; Viridiplantae; Streptophyta; Magnoliopsida; Fagales; Fagaceae.
AAAACGACUCUCGGCAACGGAUAUCUAGGCUCUCGCAUCGAUGAAGAACGUAGCGAAAUGCGAUACUUGGUGUGAAUUGCAGAAUCCCGCGAAUCAUCUAGUUUUUGAACGCAAGUUGCGCCCGAAGCCAUUCGGCCGAGGGCACGUCUGCCUGGGUGUCACGC